GAAUAUUGGACAAUGGGGGGAACCCUGAUCCAGCCAUGCCGCGUGUGUGAAGAAGGCCUUUUGGUUGUAAAGCACUUUAAGCGAGGAGGAGGCUACUCUAGUUAAUACCUAGAGAUGGUGGACGUUACUCGCAGAAUAACCCCCGGCUCACUCUGUGCCAGCCGCCGCGGUAAUACCGCGGGUGCAAGCGUUGAUCGGAGUUACUGGGCGCAAAGGGCGCGUAGGUGGCCAAUUAAGUCAAAUGUGAAAUCCCCGAGCUUAACUUGGGAAUUGCAUUCGAUACUGGUUGGCUAGAGUAUGGGAGAGGAUGGUAGAAUUCCAGGUGUAGCGGUGAAAUGCGUAGAGAUCUGGAGGAAUACCGAUGGCGAAGGCAGCCAUCUGGCCUAAUACUGACACUGAGGUGCGAAAGCAUGGGGAGCAAACAG
This 425-nucleotide ribosomal RNA is filed under the name uncultured bacterium. RNAcentral describes it as "bacterial SSU rRNA". It matches the Rfam family "Bacterial small subunit ribosomal RNA", at positions 359 to 775 of the family's 1533-position model. The record is from RNAcentral.